This 1692-nucleotide ribosomal RNA is filed under the name Escherichia coli. RNAcentral describes it as "bacterial LSU rRNA". It matches the Rfam family "Bacterial large subunit ribosomal RNA", at positions 1270 to 2925 of the family's 2925-position model. Lineage: Bacteria; Pseudomonadati; Pseudomonadota; Gammaproteobacteria; Enterobacterales; Enterobacteriaceae. The record is from RNAcentral.
AUGCUGGAGGUAUCAGAAGUGCGAAUGCUGACAUAAGUAACGAUAAAGCGGGUGAAAAGCCCGCUCGCCGGAAGACCAAGGGUUCCUGUCCAACGUUAAUCGGGGCAGGGUGAGUCGACCCCUAAGGCGAGGCCGAAAGGCGUAGUCGAUGGGAAACAGGUUAAUAUUCCUGUACUUGGUGUUACUGCGAAGGGGGGACGGAGAAGGCUAUGUUGGCCGGGCGACGGUUGUCCCGGUUUAAGCGUGUAGGCUGGUUUUCCAGGCAAAUCCGGAAAAUCAAGGCUGAGGCGUGAUGACGAGGCACUACGGUGCUGAAGCAACAAAUGCCCUGCUUCCAGGAAAAGCCUCUAAGCAUCAGGUAACAUCAAAUCGUACCCCAAACCGACACAGGUGGUCAGGUAGAGAAUACCAAGGCGCUUGAGAGAACUCGGGUGAAGGAACUAGGCAAAAUGGUGCCGUAACUUCGGGAGAAGGCACGCUGAUAUGUAGGUGAAGCGACUUGCUCGUGGAGCUGAAAUCAGUCGAAGAUACCAGCUGGCUGCAACUGUUUAUUAAAAACACAGCACUGUGCAAACACGAAAGUGGACGUAUACGGUGUGACGCCUGCCCGGUGCCGGAAGGUUAAUUGAUGGGGUCAGCGCAAGCGAAGCUCUUGAUCGAAGCCCCGGUAAACGGCGGCCGUAACUAUAACGGUCCUAAGGUAGCGAAAUUCCUUGUCGGGUAAGUUCCGACCUGCACGAAUGGCGUAAUGAUGGCCAGGCUGUCUCCACCCGAGACUCAGUGAAAUUGAACUCGCUGUGAAGAUGCAGUGUACCCGCGGCAAGACGGAAAGACCCCGUGAACCUUUACUAUAGCUUGACACUGAACAUUGAGCCUUGAUGUGUAGGAUAGGUGGGAGGCUUUGAAGUGUGGACGCCAGUCUGCAUGGAGCCGACCUUGAAAUACCACCCUUUAAUGUUUGAUGUUCUAACGUUGACCCGUGAUCCGGGUUGCGGACAGUGUCUGGUGGGUAGUUUGACUGGGGCGGUCUCCUCCUAAAGAGUAACGGAGGAGCACGAAGGUUGGCUAAUCCUGGUCGGACAUCAGGAGGUUAGUGCAAUGGCAUAAGCCAGCUUGACUGCGAGCGUGACGGCGCGAGCAGGUGCGAAAGCAGGUCAUAGUGAUCCGGUGGUUCUGAAUGGAAGGGCCAUCGCUCAACGGAUAAAAGGUACUCCGGGGAUAACAGGCUGAUACCGCCCAAGAGUUCAUAUCGACGGCGGUGUUUGGCACCUCGAUGUCGGCUCAUCACAUCCUGGGGCUGAAGUAGGUCCCAAGGGUAUGGCUGUUCGCCAUUUAAAGUGGUACGCGAGCUGGGUUUAGAACGUCGUGAGACAGUUCGGUCCCUAUCUGCCGUGGGCGCUGGAGAACUGAGGGGGGCUGCUCCUAGUACGAGAGGACCGGAGUGGACGCAUCACUGGUGUUCGGGUUGUCAUGCCAAUGGCACUGCCCGGUAGCUAAAUGCGGAAGAGAUAAGUGCUGAAAGCAUCUAAGCACGAAACUUGCCCCGAGAUGAGUUCUCCCUGACCCUUUAAGGGUCCUGAAGGAACGUUGAAGACGACGACGUUGAUAGGCCGGGUGUGUAAGCGCAGCGAUGCGUUGAGCUAACCGGUACUAAUGAACCGUGAGGCUUAACCUUACAACGCCGAAGCUGUU